RNAcentral lists this transfer RNA (73 nucleotides) under Pleurodeles waltl (Iberian ribbed newt). RNAcentral's name for it is "tRNA-Asn". Lineage: Eukaryota; Metazoa; Chordata; Amphibia; Caudata; Salamandridae. The record is from RNAcentral.
UAGACUAAAGCUUGUUGUAUUGAGUGUUUAGCUGUUAACUAAAAGGUCGCAGGGUAAGAGCCUGCUAGUCUAG